UUUGGCCGAAAGUAACAAGAGAGAAAAGAGAGAAACUUUCAUGAACACUUAAUCUUCAAAGCUUGAUUUCUUCUGAACUAAAACUCAAAUCAAAACUCCGAUUUCACCAAAAUGAUCCUCUCUUCUUCCUCUACAUAACCAUAUAACAUAUCAAGGCUGGAAAUAAGGUGAGAUGGCUGUCUCCCUCCCUCUUCAAUUCGGUUUUCAAGGAAAACCAUGCAAAACAUGUGUUUUCUUGAUGUUUUUCCUUAGGAAUCAUGCUUAACUUGACUUGAGGGCCAAGAAACGUGAAUUUCCAGCAAGUAUAAGGAAGAAAAAGUGCUUAAGGACCACCUGAAAGAGUAACCGGAUUUGAGGCAGCAAAUCAAGGUAAAUUCUGACUGAAAUUGAGGGAUUUGAGCAAAACUCUGAAAAAGGCUGACAAAAGGACUGCUGAUGCUGUUGGAUUCUGACCUCCCUGCACUCGAAAUAGAUUUUCUGGAGCUACAGAACUCCAAAUGGCGCGCUCUCAAUGGCAUUAGAAAGUAGACAUCCAGGGCUUUCCAGCAAUAUAUAAUAGUCCAUGCUUUAUUCGAAGAUUGACGACGUAACUUGGCGUUAAACGCCAAGUUCAUGCUGCUGUCUGGAGUUAAACGCCAGAAAAACGUCAUGAUCCGGAGUUGAACGCCCAAAACACGUUAUAACUCAAAGUUGAACGCCCAGAAAUGCCUUAGCUCGUGGAUUGAUCAAGCUCAGCCCAAGCACACACCAAGUGGGCCCCGGAAGUGAAUUUAUGCAUCAAUUACUUACUCAUGUAAACCCUAGGAGCUAGUCUAGUAUAUAUAGGACAUUUAUCUAUUGUAUUAGACAUCUUUUGACCACUUUAAUCUCUUUAUUCAUUCGGUCACUUGAUCAUGGAGAGGGCUGGCCAUUCGGCCAUGCCUGAACCUCUUUUACUUAUGUAUCUUCAACGGUGGAGUUUCUGCACACCAUAGAUUAAGGAUGUGGAGCUCUGCUGUACC
This is a long non-coding RNA of Arachis stenosperma, 1001 nucleotides long. RefSeq lists it as uncharacterized. The record is from RefSeq and is a predicted model, not a curated record. The transcript is spliced from 3 exons. NCBI's taxonomy places the organism in Eukaryota, Viridiplantae, Streptophyta, Magnoliopsida, Fabales, Fabaceae.